UUUCCCGACGGUCAAUGGCAUGUGCUGCUGUGGCUGUUGGGUUCCGGCAGCCACCUGGCUAAACUCCACACACUCAGAAGAGCGUGGCUCUGGCACAGAAAACCCAGGCUGCUGUUUGCGGUCUGUGCUCAGCACGUGGACGAUCAGGUCCCGCUUCCCCCACCCAGACUGCACAGCUGAUUCCUCUCACUGACUGGAUGGAAUCUUGAGGUCACCGGCCCUCCCCUUCUGACUCUUUGCAGGCCCAGAACUCAAUCUCAACAGGCUGCCUUAGUGCCUGUCACUCAGCUUAUUUGCAGGCGUGCUGAAGAGUUUUGUGAGCAGGCCAUCAGUCCAGGCUUCCUGUAAGCCACCUGACACCAAGGAAGAGAAACAGUUCCCGCAUGCAUUUUGCAACCAGAAGACUCUCCUACCGAUGCAUCUAUCAUCCUUUCAGAAGUGUAGAAAUAAAACCGGUUACAAUCUUAA
This is a long non-coding RNA of Mesocricetus auratus (golden hamster), 468 nucleotides long. RefSeq lists it as uncharacterized. The transcript has 2 exons. The record is from RefSeq and is a predicted model, not a curated record. Lineage: Eukaryota; Metazoa; Chordata; Mammalia; Rodentia; Cricetidae.